UUGGGGCUUAUAAUUACUAUUUUCACAUUUUCAUAUUAAUGUGUUCUUUUCCCCAUUUCACACUACUUACAUAAUCUUGCUACACUGGUUUAGAUUAAGUCUUAAAAACAGCUUGAAGGGGAGAAUCAAGAGCUCGUGAAGACGUGACCGAGGGAGUCAGAAACGUGGACACAGCACACAUCUAUUUAAAGGCUCACGUCAAACCCAUCACCACACCAUGCAGGUCUUAAAGAGACAGUGACACAGAAAACGCUCAUCUGAGGACGUCUGAUCCUCAUGACGUGAUCGCUGCAUCUGAUUUAAUCGCUGUCUCUUUAAGAAGUCGCUGAAAGCACUCAUUUUUUUCCUGUUUACCUGGGCCUUUGGGUUCGGUUACCUCUAAAAGCAUGUCGUGCUUAGUUUCCGCGGCGUCUGUUGCCAUGGCAGCUGCACACCUUGGCUGUGGUGAGAGAAGAAGUUAGUGAGUGUGGGGAUGUUGUUAUCAGGGGGGGUGAAAGUGGGAGCCUUUUAUUAUACCAAGAGGAGAGUCACAUGAGAGAUCAGGACAAGGAUGAUUCGAGAUCCCCCCGACACAACAAACCACCUCUUAUUUGCAUCAUCAAACCCACAGAUUGCAUCCUGAACCCUGCGUCCUCGAGCACCUGUCUGCGGUGUGUCGGGCUGAGCCGAGCCAAGCCAGAGGUUUUCUGAUGUACUGCGGGAAAAUGUGUGUUUGUGCAAAAAACCACAACGACCCGGAGCCGGCAAAUAUUACAAACCAGAGCGUAUGAGAGACAGUACUGAGAGAGAGAGAGAGGGGGGAAGAGGAACUCUGCCGCCGUCUCCAGUGGGAUCAGCAUGCCGUGGGCUUCCUUCCUGAGGGGAACAGAGCUGGACAGACUCUCUCAGAAAUGUCUCAACCCCUAAAAGGCUCUUUGUCCUGUCUGAUCACCAGCCAGCGCAGAACAAGGAGCGAACAAGCAUGUUUGGUGGUAGGGCCCUAUUGCUGCAGAGGACAGACUCGGGGAGCAGCUAGAGAUGGGAUGAGGGAAGCACGAGGAGCAGCCAUGUGCUCUACAGAAGCAGAGAAAUGCCUUUGACAAGGAUACAGCUGCAUCAUAGUAUGGCGGCGGCAUCUCAGCGCUCUCUCAUCAUCAUUUGAUGGUGACGCCGGCUCUGCACCAGAGCGGGCCUGACAACUACCAAAGUCCAGCGGCAUGGCUUAGUGUUGUAGCGGCUGUAGUGCCAUAACCUGACAGCACAAGUAGCUUGCCGACAAAGCAGACACAGACGAACGUGGUG
Long non-coding RNA from Acanthopagrus latus (yellowfin seabream), 1281 nucleotides. RefSeq lists it as uncharacterized. The transcript has 3 exons. The record is from RefSeq and is a predicted model, not a curated record. Lineage: Eukaryota; Metazoa; Chordata; Actinopteri; Spariformes; Sparidae.